Molecule: long non-coding RNA, 1999 nt
Organism: Nymphaea colorata (pocket water lily)
Lineage: Eukaryota; Viridiplantae; Streptophyta; Magnoliopsida; Nymphaeales; Nymphaeaceae
Exons: 5
Source: RefSeq, a predicted model, not a curated record
CGCUUCUCCUUUAUGAGACUGAAACCAGAGCUCCUCCUGCUGCUCAACAGAAACCGGCGGAAGAGAUGAAGGAGAUGCACAGAGGGAGCCUAGUUGUCGACCACUCACAAAUCAACGUCUCGAGGUUCGACUUCGACUCCAUCCAGCUUUCCCCUGGCGAGAAUUUGGGCAUCUUGAGUAAAUCCUGUAGCAGACAAAGCUGCUUCCAAUAAAAGUACAUACCAAAAGGAUCUCAACUAACUAGAGCUUGAGGAACAAACUUUCUAAUAUGUUUGGAUGGUUGUGAAUCAAGCAUCUCUUUACACACUGGGCACAAUAGAGGACAGUUAACCUAAAGAUGCACCAAAUGCAAACACAGAGCUCAUUUAGAAACCACUAACAACAGAAGAAGCUUAUGUAUCUGCAAGGGGCAUGCAAGUUGUUCUUUAGUGCUUGUACGACAGAAAUAUUGAAGUUUGGCAUUGUGAAAGUUGUGGCUGAUUCUACUUGGAGGAACGGUUGACCUAAACAUGUGUCAAAUGCAACGUGAGGUUCAUUCAAAAACCACUGACAACUGAAGAAGCUUUUGUAGCUGCAAUGGGCAUGCAAGUGUUUCUUAAGUGCUUGUGCAACAAAAGUUUUGAAGUUUGGUAGUGUGAAAGUUGUGGCUGAUUCACCUGGGAGGAACAGUUGACCUCAAGAUGCAUCAAAUGCAAUGUGAGGUUCAUUUACAAACCACUAACAACUGAAGAAGCUUUUGUAGCUGCAAGGGGCAUGCAAGUGGUUCUUGAGUGCUUGUACAACUGCUGUCAAUUUGAAAUUGUUUUUAACUACUUUUGCUGCUUUGUAGUUAUAUUUGAAAUAAACAGGAUCAACCUCCUCAGCGAUAGCGGCGACCUGUUGGUCUUGCUCAUUAACAGCCGCUUCAGAAUAACAGCAUUGAAGCUGCUUCUUGUCCCUUGCACCAGAAACCUGUAGAGCUUGACGAGGAGCUUCAGGUAGACAUCAUCAGAUUUGGGGGCCGUGCGCUUCGUCUUCUCCCUUGUCCCACCAGCGAGUAAGUCGAUAUCCAUGGCUGCCAAUGAACGUCGUCACCGCCAUUACCAUUAGUCCUUGAAGGUGUUCGUCUGUAGCAUCUCACCAGCCAUGAAGCUAUCACCCCUCUCCUUGGCCCCGAUGAUGUGAGGAUCUCGCCGAAGAGCUCCUGUGCCGUCGUCUUCUAUCUUGAGGCCCUACUUAGCCGUGCAUUCUAUGACAACUUUGAGACUCCCACUUUCGAGCUGGAUGCCGUGCUGAACCAACGGUACCUGUGUCGAGCCAACCUCGAUGCUUUCUCAGAGGCUUUGGUUUCUUCUCCGAUUUGAGACGGAAGAAGAGCUUCUCCAGUGAAGACAAGAGGGAGGAAACAAAAUUUGGGGCCGUCGGACUGUAAUGUGGAUAGGGCAUUUUUCUUCGGGUGCAUUUGAACUGAAUUUGUGAAUAAGAGAGCAACAGAGACUCUCCUUUCCUUGAGCAGCGAGAAGGAGCUAUGGCAAACAAAGAGAAGAGCAUUGGUGACAUCAGCAACUCAGAAAAUUCUCAGGUGAUGCCAGAUUCUUUCUUUUUUACAUCAUUAUGAUAAUUUCAGAAGUGUGCUGGUAUCUCACGCACUUAACGACGACAAUUAUGCCAUUUGGAGAAGAGCCAUGAUAAUGGCUUUAUCAUCAAAAAAUAAACUAGGCUUUAUAGACGGAUCAAAGAGCCAAAAGAAGGAUAUAAGAAUCGUGCCUUGUGGGUUAGAUGCAAUAAUAUGAUUCUUUCAUGGAUUUUAAAUUCUAUUAGCAAACUACUAUUGCUUAUGCUACUUCUGCUCAAGAUGUAUGGGAAGAUUUGAAAAGCAGGUUUAUUAGAGUUUAGCACCAAGAAUAUAUCAACUACAGAGUUCUAUAUGUCGGCUUCAACAAGAGACUUUAUCAGUUACUAUGUACUAUACAAAAAUUAAGGCAUUAUGGGAUGAACUUAAACUCUUAUUCUCCCUGUA